AGGACGAACGCUGGCGGUGUGCUUAACACAUGCAAGUGGAGCGACGAACCAGGGCUUGCCCUGGGGCAGAGCCGCGAACGGGUGAGUAACACGUGGGUAACGUACCCCGAUGACUGGGACAACCCGAGGAAACUCGGGCUAAUACCGGAUAUGUCCGACUCUCACGAGGGAGUUGAGCAAAGGAAGCUUCGGCCUCCGCAUCGGGAGCGGCCCGCGGCCCAUUAGCUAGUUGGUGGGGUAAUGGCCUACCAAGGCUGCGAUGGGUAGCUGGUCUGAGAGGACGAUCAGCCACACUGGGACUGAGACACGGCCCAGACUCCUACGGGAGGCAGCAGUGGGGAAUUUUGCGCAAUGGACGAAAGUCUGACGCAGCAACGCCGCGUGAGGGAUGAAGGCCUUCGGGUUGUAAACCUCUUUUAUCAGGGAAGAUAAUGACGGUACCUGAUGAAUAAGUCACGGCUAACUACGUGCCAGCAGCCGC
RNAcentral lists this ribosomal RNA (481 nucleotides) under uncultured bacterium. Its description in RNAcentral is "SSU rRNA". It matches the Rfam family "Bacterial small subunit ribosomal RNA", at positions 26 to 518 of the family's 1533-position model. The record is from RNAcentral.